RNAcentral lists this ribosomal RNA (461 nucleotides) under uncultured Geobacillus sp. RNAcentral describes it as "bacterial SSU rRNA". It matches the Rfam family "Bacterial small subunit ribosomal RNA", at positions 923 to 1382 of the family's 1533-position model. Lineage: Bacteria; Bacillati; Bacillota; Bacilli; Caryophanales; Anoxybacillaceae. The record is from RNAcentral.
GCACAAGCGGUGGAGCAUGUGGUUAAUUCGAAGCAACGCGAAGAACCUUACCAGGUCUUGACAUCCCCUGACAACCCAAGAGAUUGGGCGUUCCCCCGUUCGGGGGGACAGGGUGACAGGUGGUGCAUGGUUGUCGUCAGCUCGUGUCGUGAGAUGUUGGGUUAAGUCCCGCAACGAGCGCAACCCUCGCCUCUAGUUGCCAGCAUUCGGUUGGGCACUCUAGAGGGACUGCCGGCGACAAGUCGGAGGAAGGUGGGAUGACGUCAAAUCAUCAUGCCCCUUAUGACCUGGGCUACACACGUGCUACAAUGGGCGGUACAAAGGGCUGCGAACCCGCGAGGGGGAGCGAAUCCCAAAAAGCCGCUCUCAGUUCGGAUUGCAGGCUGCAACUCGCCUGCAUGAAGCCGGAAUCGCUAGUAAUCGCGGAUCAGCAUGCCGCGGUGAAUACGUUCUCGGGCCUU